Non-coding RNA from Xyrauchen texanus (razorback sucker), 1220 nucleotides. Lineage: Eukaryota; Metazoa; Chordata; Actinopteri; Cypriniformes; Catostomidae. The record is from the annotation of a RefSeq genome assembly.
GUCAGCACUAGAUCAAACCAAGCUUCAGUGGCUCUAGAGGGAAAUCAUAUUGCAGCCAGCAUUUGUCAAAAUAAAACAGAAAAGAUACACGAGGAAGCUGCAGUAAAUGAAAGAGAGCAGAAAUGAAUAAGAUUAACAGAAGGGGAAUGGAUUUGCUUAUCACCUCUCUGCUUCUGCUGGGCAUUGCAAUUGGUGAAGAGUACCAAAUGAACCAGAUGUUUAGUAGAGGUCUUCGACUUAUUGUGGAAGUUCCACAUGAUAUUUUUGAUCAGCCGGUGACUCCAAAGGUGCACCUUCUUCUUCCUGUCAGAGUUCAGUGGAAGCACUCUGAGACAGUCACGCUUGCAUGUGUCAUUACUGGAUUACAGUCCAAAGCAGUGAGGAUCACAUGGAUGGUAAAUGGAACAACAGGCCCCAAAAAACACUGCAGUGCCCCACAAGUGCAAAGAGAGCCUGGAGGUACAUUUUCUGCUGUGGGACUGUACUCAGUUCUUGCUCAUAAAUGGAAACGUGAGAAUAUGUAUAGGUGUGAAGUAGAAUACAGAGGAGCCUUUCACUAUGGUAAGGUACAGUCUUCUCUCUGCAAUCCUCCUGAAGGAUUUUAAGUUUUAAUUUGUAUUUCCUGAGCUAGAGACUUUCUGUAUUGCCAUGAGAUCCUUGUACUGAGUGUUGAGCUGAAAACAGAGCAUCUGAAUAUGUGUUGACACAGAUCGACUUAUCUCUCAAAGAAAAACAACAACAACAAAAACAUGUACAGGUCUUGAAAAUAAUGUAAUCGAAGCAAAAAUGUAUUCUUUCUUCCAGGCCUGGCUCCAGCUCUAAGAAGUAAGGUGGGUCAUAGGGCUCGCCGGGUGGGCCGAACAGUUGGAGGGGUGGGUGUAGGUGUAGUUCUCAAGGUGGGCCAAGUUCAUGAUUGGGUUGGCCAGGCCCACCCAGGUCCCCCUGUGGAGCCAGGCCUGUAUUCUUUUGAUUUUGAGGUGAAAUGUCACUAGAUAUAUUCAUGACAGUGUUUGUAAGAUUUGAUUCGACCUGUUAUGUAUGCAACACCUCCCUGUCAGUAGAUGAAUCAUUGUGUUUUACAUCUAUGUUAAAUAGUGCUGUGCCAUCCUUUUUUUAAAGUAUGUUAUUUUUAUUUUUGGCUGCACCUUCUCUUUUAUUUGUUGACCUUCUGCUUUUAUAUGUAUGAUAAAAAUAGGAGAUGACUGCUUAUUAUCGAAUAA